Molecule: long non-coding RNA, 2372 nt
Filed under: Brassica rapa (field mustard)
Lineage: Eukaryota; Viridiplantae; Streptophyta; Magnoliopsida; Brassicales; Brassicaceae
Description: long non-coding RNA (BRAP_LNC001389)
Source: RNAcentral
UGAACUCUCGAAAGAUGAAUGAAAGUGUGCAGCCGCUGUGCCAAGGGUGUUAUACUUGCCAAAAGCUAUAAUAAAACGAACAUAACGUUUGAAUAUUUAAUUAAAAACAAAAAAUGUGAGUAUACACAACGGGGAUCGAACACGGCUUAUUGUGUGAUAAGGGUACACUAAGAGUUGAAGGGCUUGCCACUAGGCUAUGGUGGAUAUUCGAUAACAGAGUAAAUGUGAACUUAUUUAUUCACAGACGAUAGAUUUAUAUGAUCUGGAUAUCAUUUUAGAUAAUCAGGAUAGCUUUCCAAAAACAAAUUCCUUUAAAGUUUACAAAAAAAAAAUGAAAAAGAAUGUGAUCUGAUGUUGAUUGAACUCGUGAACUCUCGAUAGAUUAAUCCAAGUGUGCAGCCGUUGUACCAAGGGUCUUAUACUUGCCAAAAAGCUACAAUAAAACGAACAUAACGUUUGAAUAUUUAAUUAAAAACAAAAAAAAAUGUGAGUAUACACAACGGGGAUCGAACACGGCUUAUUGUGUGAUAAGGGUACACUAAGAUUAGAAGGGCUUGCCACUAGGCUACGGUGGAUAUUCAAUAACAGAGUAAAUGUGAACUUAUUUAUUCACAGACGAUAGAUUUAUAUAAUCUGGAAAUCAUUUUAUGUAUUCAGGAUGGCUUUCCAAAAACAAAUAAGCAAAUCAGAUAACCAAGUUAUAAGAACACUAGGCCAAACCAUUACAAAAUAGUGAAAAACAUUGAACAAGUUUUUUAUUUAGGUUGUUAAUUGAAGAAACAACACAAGAGAAACAAAAGUACUUAUUCAUUUAAAAUAAAAAACUGAAAUUCAAACAUAAAAACAUAAUGUGGUCCUUAAAAACAUAAAAAGAGAAGACGAUAACAUGAAAUUACUCAUGACACAACCAACUUUCGCCAAGUUUAUCCCAAUCAGGGACUUUGACCUUCACAUCAGCAAGCAUUCCUUCCGCUUCCGAGUGCUCUUCUUUGAGUUUCUCCAACUCAGCAGUUAAAUCAAAUUUUCCAUCAGCUUUGAUAAUAUCUUCAAGCAACUCGAUUUGGACAGCAAUUGAAUUUGCUUUGCUGGAUGCAACAUUCCAAUCAUUCUCAGAUAGCCUGUAUUCGUUGGACAAACGAAGAAGAGCCCUGUAAUGUACCACAGUUUCCUUCUUCCCCUUCUUGAAACCUUCGGCGGCAUCACAUCCGUAAACCUCCUCUAUGGGACGCUUCAUCAUCUUCUUUGAACUUCCUUCCAUUGAAACUUUGUCCUGCAACAAAAUCGAAACUAAGAUGUAACGAUAAAAUAGAAAUAGAAAAAGUUCAUGAAUUGAAUGGAAAAUGAGAAAAAUCGAAAACUAACUUGUAUUGCAAAAGGAUAAAUCAGACGAAAUGAAGUGAGUGAAUAAAAGGUCUGAUAUCGUCCCUUAUAUUUAUAGAACAAAAAGGAACUCUUCGAUUAUUGAAGUCAGUUAAAAUAAACUCUUGAUUAUUGUGAAACUCUUCGAUUAUUGAAGUCAGUUACUGAAAAUAACCAAUCAUAUAACAGCCAGUCUUGACGAAAAGAAACUCUUCGGUUACUGAGUUACAUGAUGUCGUUUGGAAGAGACUUUUCGAUUCCUGAGAUAUAAAAAAAAAAAAAAAACCACCCAUUACUCGUAGGAGAGUCGAACCCGGGUCGAGCAAAUGUUUCGGUGUCAUAGGUUUCGAGGUUUAGCCGCUAGGCUGAGGAGAAUCAUCUGUUAGUUGCUUCCACAUAAUUGUAUUUAGCCAUACAAUUGAUAGUAUAAUACAUUGGAAAGAUCUUUGAUAGUUCAGGAUGGGCUUCCGAUUGCAACAAAUGUGAUUCUUGAGAUAUAUGUUUGAACAAAAAAAAAAAAACCACCCAUUACUCGUAGGAGAGUCGAACCCGGGUCGAGCAAAUUUUUCGGUGUCAUAGGUUUCGAGGUUUAGCCGCUAGGCUGAGGAGAAUCAUCUGUUAGUUGCUUCCACAUAAUUGUAUUUAGCCAUACAAUUGAUAGUAUAAUACAUUGGAAAGAUCUUUGAUAGUUCAGGAUGGGCUUCCGAUUGCAACAAAUGUGAUUCCUGAGAUAUAUGUUUGAACAAAAAAAAAAAACACCCAUUACUCGUAGGAGAGUCGAACCCGGGUCGAGCAAAUGUUUCGGUGUCAUAGGUUUCGAGGUUUAGCCGCUAGGCUGAGGAGAAUCAUCUGUUAGUUGCUUCCACAUAAUUGUAUUUAGCCAUACAAUUGAUAGUAUAAUACAUUGGAAAGAUUUUUGAUAGUUCAGGAUGGGCUUCCGAUUGCAACAAAUGUGAUUCCUGAGAUAUAUGUUUGAACAAAAAAAAAACACCCAUUACUCGUAGGAGAGUCGA